AGUUGCCCUCAGCCCUCACAGGCCCUGGGGUCGCCGCACCUGGGCCAGAGACCUAGGAUGCCGCGAGGCGCGGCAAGCGCUCCCUAGGGAAGCCGAAGACCUUGCCUGAGCGCACCACCCGAACCCCGGGCCCACAUUCCGCUCUCGCCCAGAGGCGCGGUUCUCACUCCCUAGCGCUCGUUAGUACCGGGAGCGCCUCAUCCCUUCCUCAGCUGGGCCCCAAGAGCCACUCUGGUAGGCCGUGCACGCCCCGCGCCUCACCUCGUGGGGAUACAGAAACGGAGGAGGGAACCCCAGCCGCGGACCGUAGCUGGCACUACCCGCUCCUGCCGCCGCUCCGCCUCACAUUCAAACCCCGGCAAAAUGGCGCGACAGCGAGCCUGAGGCCAGAGCGCAUGAGCGAGCGGCCCGCUGCAGGGGGCGGGGCCAGGAAUGCUCUGGCCCCACCCAAGUUCGAAGGGCCAAUCGGGGCCCCGCUCUGUUUCUGCGCUGAUCUCACAAGUGACAAUGCUCUUUGGCUCUGACCAUGCCAGCAGGCUUCACGGUUCUCGUUUUCCAAAGAGGAACACAGAUUCAGCGAGCGGCUGCUGGCUUCUGACCCAUUUUGAUGUCAGGGCUUGGCACGUAGGAGGUGUUCAAUGUUGAUCGAUCCAAGGUCGUGCACAUAGGGUCUAAGACGGAAGAGAACUUCCUGCCCCUCUUGGAGCUUCUAUUUUAGAGGGAGACACGGCCAGACAGGUCUCGAACUCCUGGCCUCAAGUGAUCCGCACACCUUGGCCUCCCAAAAUGCUGGGAUUCCAGGCGUGAGCCACCGCGCCUGGCCUGUCCUAGGGAGAAUGAGCCUGAUGACUUUACCAUUUUCCACCUCUAAGAGCCAAUCGCAAAGGAGGCUGGCUGGCAUCUUGUGUCUGUCUAGCAUCUCUACCAGUUUCUGUAGAAAACCCUCAAGCUGUGCCAAGACGAUCAUGUCUGGACACAGCUCUUGGUGUCACGGGGUGUCUCCUCCUACUGCCUAUCGCCCUUUGCAGCCACCAGAAUAAUCAUGCAGGAGCCAGGGCCCCAUAUUAUCUACCGCUGUCCAUCUGCUCUCCAGCACAUCAGAGCAGCCCUUCCCCUGUGUGAGAUUCCUCUCCAGGGCAAGACUUGAAGGGAGCAUCAAGGUUGCAGUGGAAGAAAUAAAUUGGAAGUGGAGCUGGGCAGUUAUUUAUUUAUUUAAAUAGAGACAAGGCCGAAUGCGAUGGCUCACACCCGUAAUCCCAGCACUUUAGGAGGCCGAGGUGGGUAGACGACCUGAGGUCAGGAGUUCAAGACCAGCCUGAUCAACAUGGCGAAAUCCCGUCUCUACUAAAACUACAAAAAUUACCUGGGCACGGUGACACGCACCUGUAGUCCCAGCUACUCAGGAGGCUGAGGCACAAGAAUUGCUUGAACCUGGGAGGCCAAAAUUGCAGUGAGCCAAGAUUGCACUACUGCACUCCAGCCUGGGCGACAGAGCCAGACUCCAUCUCAAAAAAUAUAUAUAUAUAAAUAAAAAAUAAAUAAAUAGAGACAAGUCUCACUGUGUUGCCCAGGCUGGUCUCGAACUCCUGGGCUGAAGCAAUCUGCCUGCCUUGGCCUCCCAGAGAGCUGGGGUUACAGGUGUGAGGCACGGUGCCAGGCUAGAUCUGGGCAAUGUUUAGGAGGCGGGCUCUAGAGCCAGGCUGCAGGGCUUCAAAUCCCUCUGAGUGUCCUAAGUCAAGUUUGUCAACCUCUCUGAGCCCGUACCCCUCUAUAAAAAGGAGGGAUGCUGGUGAUGAUGAUAAUAGUACCUACUUUACGGGGGUUAUUGUGCGAAUUAAUGGCUGAAGAAUGGUUGAAAUAGCAAGAGUCAAAAACAUGAUCAAUAUGGAAAGCCUAGCAGGAGAAAGUACUAAAGUUCAUUGAUGGGGAGAUGGGGAGGGGGACAGAUGGGGUCUCACCGUUUCCCAGGCUGGUCUCAAACUUCUGGCCUCAAGUGAUCCUCCUGCCUUAGCCUCCCAAAGUGUUGGGAUUAUAGGCAUGAGCCACUGUGCCCAGCCAUUAAAUUCUCCUUCUUUCCUCUUUUGGUGGAAGGGAAGGGAGAAGUGAGACUUUACCAGGAGUCCAUGGAAUGUGGCCCAAAGGCCAAGGACAGAGUACCUUCCAGGACUCUCUCAGAGGGCAGCAGGAGCCCAGGGCUGCUUUCUGCCUAUGACAGGUGUGCAGUAGAAGUGGGUCUUCAGAGGCUGGGCGCAGUGUCUCAGGCCUGUAAUCCUAGCACUUCGGGAGGCAGAGGCGGGCAAAUCACCUGAGGUCAGGAGUUUGAGACCAGCCUGGCCAACAUGGUGAAAGCCAGUCUCUACUAAAAAUACAAAAAUUAGCCAAGUAAUUUUUUUUUUUUUUUUUUUUUUUUGAGGAAUCUUGCUCUGUGGCCCAGGCUAGAGUGCAGUGGUGUGAUCUCAGCUCACUGCAACCUUGGCCUCCCAGGUUCAAGUGAUUCUUGUUCCUUAGCCUUCCAAGUAGCUGGGACUAUGGGACUACAGGUGUGUGUCACCAUGCCCAGCUAAUUUUUGUAUUUUUCGUAGAGACAGGGUUUUGCCACAUUGGCCAGGCUGGUCACAAACUCUUGACCUCUAGUGAUCUGCCCGCCUCAGCCUCCCAAAGUGCUGGGAUUACAGGUGUAAGCCACCACACCUGGCCCAUGCCUGAUAGUUUUGAUUCAUCAUGGAUAAUCUGUCAUUAAAAGAAAUUCAGGGCCAAGUCCAGUGGCUCAUGCCUGUAAAUUCCAGCACUUUAGGAGGCUGAGGUGGGAAGAUGACUUGGGCCUAGGAGUUUGAGACCAGCUGGGGCAACGUAGCAAGACCCUGUCUCUACAAUAAAAUUUAAAAAAAUUAGCUGGGCAUAGUGAGGUGUGCCUGUAGUCCCAGCUACUGGGGAGGCUGAGGCAGGAAGAUUGCUUGAGCCCAAGAAUUUGAGGCUGCAGUAAGCUAUGAUGGUGCCACUGCCACUGCACUCCAGCCUGGGAGCCACAGCAAGAUCCUGAAUCAAAAAGAAUUCAUCUGAGGGUUCACCAAGUUGCUGAUGAGUCUCUAGAAAGUACAAGGAGAAUCCUGGGUUUAGCCAUUGAGUCUCAGGAUGCAGGAAUCAAGAUCAUCACAAUACUGGAUAAACAAGGGGAACAACUCAACCACAUAGAAGACAUGGGCCACAAAAAUACAGACAUGAGAGAGGCAGAGAAGACUUUAACAGAACUUAACAAAUGCCAUGCCCUUCGUGUCUGUCCACAUAAUAGAACAAAGAACUUUGGAUGGCUUGGGCACGAGAAAUUGAGGCUGCAGUCAGCUGCAAUGAGGCCACUCACCCCAGCCUGGGUGACAAAGCAAGAUCACGUCUCUUAAAAAAAAAAAUUGGAAACAUUGACAAAGACAGCCAAGAAGAAGGAAGCUGUAGAAGUGUUUUUUGUUUGUGGUUUUUGUGGUGGAGGGAGGGACAAGAGAUAAGAGGUUAACCUCAGCAAAAACCUAGCUGGGCAUGGUGGCACGUGCCUGUAAUCCCAGCAUUUUGGGAGGCUGAGGUGGAAAGAUUGCUUUCUUUCCACCUGGGAUGUGGAAUCACACAUUCUAUGCACACCUAUGAAUCACUAAGACUUCAGAAGUUAAGCUCCCUUUAAGAAAACUCAUUCUUUUUGGAGCAGAGGUUGCAGAACUGUGAUCCCUAACAAAAAUACUGUGUAUAAAAGCUCCAAAACGAAGUAUUAGCUUAAAGUGGCAAUAACUACAACUUUAUAACCAACUAAAUCUUUACCGUGGCUAUGCAACUUUUUGCUUUGUGGCCAGAAGGUUUUUUUGGUUUUUGUUUUUUUGAGACAGGCUGUCACCCAGGCUGAAGUGCAGUGGCACAAACAAAGCUCACUGCAGCCUCGACCUCCUGGGCUCAAGCAGUCCUCCCCACCCCAGUCUCCUGGGUAGCUGGGACUACAGGCGUGUGCCACCACACUUGCUAUUAUUAUUUUGUAGAGAUAGGGUCUCACUACAUUCCCCAGAUUGGUCUCAAACUCCUGGCUUCUAGCAAUCCUCCCACCAUGCCAGACCCUAGACUUAAAAAGUUAGAAUUGGCUGGAUGUAGUGGCUUACACCUAUAAUCCCAAUACAUUGGGAGGCUGAGGUGGGAGGAUCACUUGAGCCCAGGAGCUGAAGACCAAUUUGGCCAACAUAGUGAGACCCCCAUCUCUAUUUUUAAAAAAAGUUAGAAUUUAUUGUGUUACUAAAAGUGAUUUGGAAAAUUAUACCUUUAGUUUAAUUAUUGGGGAAUUACACUGUCAGUCUCUUACCCUUGUGUAUAGAACUAUGUCCAGAAUCAAAUUUAUGUAGAUCCUAAACACUGUUAUGGGAAUCUGAUUAGUAUUUGUCACAUUGACUUAAAAAUUAGCAUCUCAGUUGGCGUGGUACUCACACCUGUAAUUUCAGCACUUUGGGAGGCCAAGGUGGGAGGAUCACUGAGGCCAGGAGUUCAAGACCAGCCUGGGCAACAUGGUGAAACCCCAACUCUACAAAAAAAUACAAAAAUUAGCCAGGCAAGGUGUCUCACUACUGGCCCUAUAGUUCCGGCUAAUCAGGAAGCUGAGGUGGGAGAAUUACUUGAACCAAGAAGGUUAAGGCUGCAGUGAGCUGUGAUUGCACCACUGCUCUCAGCCUGGGCUACAGGGCAAGACCCUGUCUCAAAAAUAAAUAAAUAAAUUAGCAUCUGAAUAUUUCAAAGCUGUCAAUGUGUACUGGCUGAACCAAUAGCCACUACUUGAUCCUUACAAUUACAUUUUGUAACUAGCAACAACAAAGUUAAUAGAUUCAAGAGGCAUAUAAAGAAUCUCAUGACUAGAAUUUUCCCCCUUUCAUUGGUGAGGGACAUAAACUGACCCAAAACUACGGCUUGAUAUAUGUUUUUUAAAUUACUACACAUUAGAAACAGCUAUACUUUUUAAAAUUUUAUUGAUGUACCACCUGAUCAAAGCAUGGGAUAUUUUAAUAGUAUUAUACAUAAUAUUUUUACAUAGAAAACUUUACAUAGCAUUUCAUAUUAUAUAAUUCUGCUUAUUCUUUCAAAAAUUUAUACAUCCAUUGGGCAAGGAAUGGUUUUCAUUAAAUUACCAAUAUUAAAUGCACUUAAUCAUUGUGUAUAGGUUAAACCAAAGUAACUAUUAACUAACUUUUAGGCAUUUUAAGGAGGUAAAACAUACAUUUUACACAUAAAUAUUUGAUGCAAAUAUGCAGAUAAAAUUUUUUAAAAAUUAGAACACUGAGUAAAACACCUUUGAUAGAUUAUAUUGUUUUGUUUUGAGAGCAAGGAUUUCCAGAUAUGUUCAUUCUUUAAAACACUCAGCUUUGGUUUCUUUGUUUCCCAAACUGCAAAGCUGCUGAUAACAAAACUCCAGGAUUCCAUGUGAGUUCAGCUAUGUCUACUUUAACACAAAUAUUAAAACAGAAUUCAGAAAAUGCAGUAUUAAGGAUCCAGCUUCUAUUGAAACCAAUAUCCAUUUGCAUCAUAACAACAAACAUUUGAAUGAGAUGGUCACACUUGUACUUAUCAGCAGGUUCCUUUAAUAACAAAGACUACUAAAUGUAUAUCCUUAAUCACAAAAGAACAACAAAAAAAAUACAGGUUUUUUUUUUUUCAUUUCGUACAAAAGUCACCUGCCAGAGGAAAAUGUUGUGUUUCCAGAUAUUAUAAUACAAUUUUCAUAAUGUAUGUUCUUUGGUUGUACAUGAGGAGUACAGGGAAAAGAUAUAUUUGACUCUAAAGAUGCGUAUCAGAAAUAAAAAUUACCCAUCCACUGUUUGUUGUUAAGAUGCCAAAGCUGGUGAUUUCCCUAACAGACAAUGAAGAGAAACAAAAUUGCUCAAAGCAGCAGUAUUGUAACAAAUAAAAACUUCUCUAGAGACCCAGCACAUAUAAUCAACACUUAAAGCAUUCUGAAAAAGAAAUAAGGCCUUGGAAAAUGUUUCACUCUCCUCCAUUACUUGGUUAAAUAAAUGGUGUCCUGGCCUGAUGUUGCGGUUGUACAUACCCUUUCACUAGUGUUUGAGUGGCACAAGCCACAUUUACCAUGAGAAAGAAGAGAUUUAUUCAUAAAAAUGAAUUUAGGCUGAAUGGCUUAUUAUUGGAGGUAAGGGAUUUCAAAUCUCUGUUCGUCACUGUCCACUGACAAGAAAAAUCACCCUGAAUGGUUUUACAUCCAAUUUUUUAAAAGUCCAUUGCUGGUACAAUUCAAAUGCCUCAUUCAGAAAAUUAAAUCUUUUAAAAUACUAAACUAAUAAGAAAUGUAAGCCUGAAUGUUUCAGCAAGUAAUAAAAUGCACUGACACAUCUGCUACCCCUCAAGAGGCAAAAUUAAAGAGAGGGCAGAAGACACCAGAAAAAUUUUAGUCACAUCCGAUGAAGAAAAUGACAUGAGAACCUCAGAAGGAAAGGAAAAAUAACCAAUCAGGGAUAUAGCUGCACGCAAGAUGGACUUAAUGAAUGAACACGUGUUCCCCAUGUAUACCUUUUGUACAAAUAUCAAUGGAGACGACUGACUUGUUGAGGUGAUGACGCGCUAUGAUACCAGGGAGUGUAGGUUUCAUGGUGCAGUGUAAAGGUGCAGUGGAUUCCAGGGCAAACCAGUCAAAUGUGCUAACAUUUUCCACUCACAGUAAAGUAUUCUCCCAUAGUCCCUUCCUGCUAAAUUAUACAGCUCCUUUUAUCUAAUGUAUAUAAGUCAUGUAAAAACCUAAACCUGCUCAUUUUUUCUUUGGUAGAGAAAUUAAAAAACACUUUUUGGGAAAGAAAAAAGUAGACAAGAAUUCUGCUGGCCAAAACCAAACAUUUCUCAAGGCUGUUAAAACAAGAAAACAACUUAAGAAUAUCGGUCUCUUAGUAAGCAAAAGCACCAGAAAUCCUUCUCUACAAAGAAAAAACAUCUGAUUUUACAGAUAGGUUCCCAAACUACUAACUUCUAAGGCACCAGAGUUGACAUCAAUACAACCCAAUUUACAGGACUAAAGAGCAUAGGUAGAAGUCUGAAAGUUUUAAUCAUUCUGUGUAACACUUUGUCUAACGCUCAGCGAUGCUCUAGGUGAGCAGUGGGUGAGGGCAGAGAAUGAGGCGUGUGUGCUCCUUCUCAUGGGUGAGCAUCCACGUAUACUGCUCACAGGCUUUGGGACGUACUUGUGUACUGCCCACUUUUACACAAGCUGCAGCAGAACUCAGUUCUACUGCAGGUGAGAGUAUUGCACCAUCAUUAACAUAAUAAGGACCUCAGAAUCCAACCUUGCCAAAGAAUUCAACUCCUAGGCUCAGAUUAAUGGAAGUGCUGGGCACAUGCCACCUCCUGCCAUUGUCACAGUUCAGCUGUGCUGGCCCCGACACAGCUCCAGUUCCACCCAUGACAUCUGGCUGAGGAGGCUUAUGGGAGCGGCUUCUCAUGCACAGUUACUGUCCCUCUCUGGAGGGUCCUUUAAUGGGGACUGUGCAAAGCAGUGACACUAACUGCCAGUACACUCACUUUUCUGAGGUGAAAAUAAAAAGGUUUAUUCAAGGAUAAAUGAACUCUGGUUAAAUUACUACUUCAUUUUCAUUACUACUUCAUAUAUUAGAUUUCAGAGUGUGUGAGAUGGACAGUGUAUUCUGGAAAUUUUAAUUUAACACCCAUCCACAAAUACUUAUUUCAAGGAAGGCUAAUCAUCUUCAUUAAAUUGUUCACUUUUUCGUGUAGACUUUUUCUCUCCAUGUUACUAAAACAGGGAGAUCCACGAGGCACAUUUUUUUAACCUCGCAAAACUCUUAAUUCUAACUUAAUUACUAAACUCUGCCUUCAACCAAAUUUUCAAUAUCUUUUUGUAAAAUACUUUAAAAAUCACUCAGACAUUAACAAAACACAAAAACAACUCUUCUCUAAUCCUGACCUGUCCUUAAACUAAUCUAAUUACGGCUGACUCGUAACUGACAAAAACAUUCAAAUUUCUCUAACACACUCAAACAACAGAAAACCCAGCAUAUUUUAGGUGGCAGUUAGCCGUUACAAGAAGUUUUAUUAACAUAUUCUCUAAUAAUCACAAACCUAUACAGCUAUGUUCAGUAUUUUCAAGGAGAGUGACUUCUUACAAAACGUUUAUAGCCAAUCAUGGGAUUUUGCUAGAAAACGAUGGCAUAUGCAAUGACAGAUUUGACAGUUUAAUCAGAAAAAUGGAAUGAUAGAAAUGAAGCAGACUCCCCACCUACUGUGCUAACUGGGUAUGCAACAGUUUAAUGAAAUACCAUAAGCCUUAGUUGGAGACUGUGAUGGAACAGCGUAGAGGCCAUCCGUUUCCAGGCCAUUCUGAGAUCCAAGAUGCCAACUCCUUGUUUCUAUGAAACUUCACGAGAUGUGCCAGUCAGAAAUGGCAUGCUGAACAUUCUGCAGAGCUGCAGCACUGGCCUGGGCAGCCAGGGCUACCACACUGGUGACAGUGCUGCUGGUACCUGUGAUGGCUCUUCUGGUAUCCAUAUCUUAUACACAACACCUAUCCGUAGGAAGAACUUCCGCAGAACUGCUCGGAGCUCAGGGAUCAGGUCAAACUGCAUAAUUUCACACAAGUAGGGGUAGUACAUUGAAGCAUGUGCUUUGAACUUGAGGUGGGAGAGAAACAGAUAAAAUUAGACAAUUUUUUUUUUUUUUGGGCACCAGUUUUUCAGAAGUGUUAAUCUCACCCUGGAACUUAUUACAAUAUUGGUGCUUUUCUUGCUAUUAGAAAGUUGGGGCCGAGCGCAGUGAUUCACGCCUAUAAUCCCAGCACUUGGGGAGGCCGAGGCAGGUGGAUCGCUUGAGCUCAGGAGAUCGAGACCAGCCUAGGCAACACGGUGAAACCCUGUCUCUACCAAAAAUACAAAAACUUAGCUGGGCAUAGUGGCGCGUGUCUGUGGUCCCAGCUACUCAGGAGGCUGAGGUGGGAGGAUCGCUUGAGCCUGGGAGGCAGAAAUUGCAGUGAGCUAGAUUACGUCACUGCAUUCCAGCCUGUGUGACAGACC
RNAcentral lists this long non-coding RNA (9035 nucleotides) under Homo sapiens (human). RNAcentral describes it as "non-protein coding CSE1L-AS1:8". Lineage: Eukaryota; Metazoa; Chordata; Mammalia; Primates; Hominidae. The record is from RNAcentral.